GACCUUUUUUUUGACCUGUCGGCCGUGGCAGUCUUCCUAGCCAUGGAAGAGCACAUUCUUAUUUACUGGCAAAGCCAUCACCACUUAACGGGCAUUAGAUUCUGACUUGCACAGAUAACCUCU
RNAcentral lists this small nucleolar RNA (123 nucleotides) under Mustela putorius furo (domestic ferret). RNAcentral describes it as "Small nucleolar RNA SNORA24 (ENSMPUG00000020592.1)". It matches the Rfam family "Small nucleolar RNA SNORA24". Rfam says of the family: ACA24 is a member of the H/ACA class of snoRNA that guide the sites of modification of uridines to pseudouridines. The record is from RNAcentral. Lineage: Eukaryota; Metazoa; Chordata; Mammalia; Carnivora; Mustelidae.